RNAcentral lists this long non-coding RNA (471 nucleotides) under Homo sapiens (human). RNAcentral's name for it is "HSALNT0035137". Lineage: Eukaryota; Metazoa; Chordata; Mammalia; Primates; Hominidae. The record is from RNAcentral.
GUGGUUCUCACAGUGAAGUCCCCAGAUGAAGGAAAGGAAGACUCGGGUGUGUUAUCGACUGUUUUCCCGUGAGAACAUUCCGACUCCUUGGGGACAAGGUCUGUGCCUGUGAAGCAGUUAAACAACUCAUACCCAGCUUCAGCUUCUCCUCUAUAAAAUGGCUCUAGGAUGCAGCAGUGAACAAAACAGACGAGUCUACAGAGUUGACAUGACAUGCAGGGGCCAUGGAGAAGGCGAGAACUGUGGAAACGUCGUUGUUGAGUAUGUCAAAUGGUGAUGUGUGCUGUAAAGAAGGAGUGAAGCUGGACUCAGAGCGGACAGGAAGACAGGGGUAGGGGUAGGUCUGGGCUUUUGUACAGGGUGAUCUGAGAAGGCCACUUUGACAAGGUGAUAUGUAAAGUGAGGACACAAGCCCUGUGACUAUGUGGGCACAACUCUCCUAGGAAAAGGGAGCAGCAAAGUGCAUGGACC